This 72-nucleotide transfer RNA is filed under the name Mustela putorius furo (domestic ferret). It matches the Rfam family "tRNA". Rfam says of the family: Transfer RNA (tRNA) molecules are approximately 80 nucleotides in length. RNAcentral also lists the same sequence under 2 other names. Lineage: Eukaryota; Metazoa; Chordata; Mammalia; Carnivora; Mustelidae. The record is from Rfam by way of RNAcentral.
GCCUAGCUGGCUCUGUUGGUAGAGCAUGUGACUUUUGAUCUCAGGGUUGGAGUUCAAGCUCCACAUUGGGCA